Molecule: long non-coding RNA, 2083 nt
Organism: Cercocebus atys (sooty mangabey)
Lineage: Eukaryota; Metazoa; Chordata; Mammalia; Primates; Cercopithecidae
Exons: 3
Source: RefSeq, a predicted model, not a curated record
UAGAGGGACCCAGGCUGGAGAGUUAGUUCGGGUCUGAGGUGUUGUGAGCCGGGAGCGCGAGGAAACCAAAGGCAGGGGCUGGCUGAGGCUGCAGCUCACUGCUGAUUUACCCCAGGACCCCGCUCCGGAGGGGUCGUAGCCAGUUUAGCACAAGUCCAUCAUCCGCUAGUCCCGAAAGCGCUGGGCAGUGGGGUCAGGGGCAGUGGGAGGAAAUCCACCCGGCUGACGCCCUGCGGGUUCUCCGGUUCCCGGGCGCUCGGCGGCGGACGUGGCCCUCAGAGCAGGCCACCGGGCGUUGGGGGUCCAGGCUGACUCCCAGAGCGACCGGGAUCGCCAAGUCACGCCCCACGUGGCCUGGAGGCUUUUUCCUGGUCCUCCCAAUCCUUCAGCCAAAGGCUCUCAUUAUGUGGAGAAUGGAAGUCACUAUUUGGGGGAACUGACUGUCCCCAGGGCACGUCCCAGAAGGGAGCAAAUCCCUCCGAGGAGGCGCAGGAGAUUCACAGGCAGUCUCUAUGCGUGCACCUCCAUUCAGGAUGUGCCAGGACGGCAGACCACAGGCAGCGCCAGAAAUGGCUCGCGAUGCUGGCAGGACAAACAGCCGGGCACCUGGGCGUGGCGACACCGGAGGGACACUGGUUGUACACGCGUGCUGCAGAGUUGGUGACCAUGGGCAGUGCAGCCGCUGGGUUUGGCCUGUGAGGCCAUCCUCAAGGUUCUCUGGAGGCCAGCAAGGAGCUUUCACAGCUGAGAGGCCCCAGACGCAGCUGCAUCCUGGAAUUGUUCUGAGAAAUCUGGGACCUGCCCCACCUCCACCCAGGCAGGGGGCACCAGCCAGCUCCAGAGCUGCCCACCUUCCCUCACAGGCGCACAGGUCAGUGCCAGGCCAACCCCAGAGCGAGAACACCUGUGCUGGACUGUGCUGAAGCAGCGAGGUGGCCUGCACAGGUGAGGUUGCCAGGAACAGUCAGUGCAGCUGUGCCCAGUCCUGGGCAGGGCAGCCAUGGGAGGGCCCUGACUGCGGAGGGGUGUCCAGAGAGCCUGCCCCACUAUGGAGAAGCCUGCGCGGAAGAAGGUGGCAGAAGGGAGGCGGGGCUGGUCUUGGCGGCCACUGUCUGGCCAGUUCGGAUCCUAGUCAUGCCUUGGCUCCACCUAGGUUGCAGGCAAAGAACCUGUUCAGAGAUUCUGCUGGGCAUCAGGCCACUGUUUCCAGCAGCCAGAUAGCUUCCUGGGGCCUCAGGACUCUGGGCUGCCCUCUGGCCCCGGGGAAGGUUGCCAGGCCAUGGGCAAGGAGAAAAGCAGAAGGGGGAUGGGAGGGGGAGGAGAGUCUCAGCCAGUGUCCCGCUCGGAUGCACAGCACUGUUGUUCAGUCACCAGCUGGCUGGGAGGACGGCUUCCACUGCAGGAUGGACCCCAGGGAGGAGGAUGGAGCUUCAUGUCAGACAUCCCUCACACCACAAAGUUGGAAACUGCUCACCCAGAAAUGGGGGUAUAUGGCACUUUGGGAGGCCAAGGCGGGAGGAUUGCCUGAGGCCAGGAGUUUGACGAGACCAUCCUGGACAAUAGUGGGCAGCAAGGGAGGUGUCGGACGGAGCCACCCCACGGUUCCCCUGUGAAAGUCUGCACGUCACUCAGAAAGUUGAAGCAAACGAAGCAGGGCUGGAGCUCACAGUUCACAGCUGGCCAGGCUGCACAGGGGAUGCGCCAAGGACAGUUUCCUACGACAAGUGGAAAUCUGUGUGCUGCAGGCGAGCUGGGUCCUGGAAAGUGCAGGGACCAGCCAGCAUCUUGGGACAUCAAGGGCUGUCUCCAGCCAGCAGAUUUCCCAUAAAAAGGUGCUGAACUGGGGACAAAGCUGAUUCUACAGAGCUGAGAAUCCAGACCUUCCCUGGGGACUCCCAAGGGGGCCCUGGCCACCCUCUCCACCUGCAGAGGUUUCCUGGCCCAACAGCUCCUCCUCCGAGGGCCCCCUUCCAGCUCUCGGCCCAUGGGGGAGCCAGUUCCUCAGCUCUGGGCUUGGUGGACAGGAGACCUAGGGCUCCCCGCACCGAGCUGGGCUCAGUGUUUUCUUUUUUUGUUGUUGUUG